GUAGUCUAAAACACCUGGAGAGCCCAAGUUUGGGAAUCACUGAGACGAAAAGCAGGACGAGGAGAGUGGCCAUUUCCGACAUCAGCUCUUCUUAAAACCAGGGUUUCCUCCAGCCCUGACCACUAAGAUGGGCAGAUCAGGAAUCCAACCUGGAACCUUGAGUUGUGCCAAGUGGGUGCCCUACCCUGGAACCAUGUGUCUCACAAAGGAUGGAGACCUACUGGAUUGCAAAGGAAGCAUCUUUUUGUCUUGCAAAUGGAUUUAAACUUUCCCGGACUUUGAGAAUUUCCCAGUAGAUACAUGGCUAGAAGGAGGAGGAGGAAGUAAGUGCCAGCCUGCAAGAAAUACCCCUCCACACCAUCUGAACUGAGACUAAAGCAGCAAAAUGCAGGCCUAUGACAAACAUCUUGAAUCUUUUGUCUCCUGUAUGGUUUUUAAUACCUUGCUGGAUGAAGAGGCCAGUAGAGCUUUGAAAGCUUGCAAUGUGUAUACUGUACUGUGCAUUUUGGUAGGCCCAAUAAAAAGUAUCAUUGGUGGA
Molecule: long non-coding RNA, 538 nt
Organism: Sceloporus undulatus (fence lizard)
Lineage: Eukaryota; Metazoa; Chordata; Lepidosauria; Squamata; Phrynosomatidae
Exons: 2
Source: RefSeq, a predicted model, not a curated record